Molecule: ribosomal RNA, 460 nt
Filed under: uncultured bacterium
Lineage: Bacteria
Description: partial 16S ribosomal RNA
Rfam family: Bacterial small subunit ribosomal RNA
Source: RNAcentral
CCUACGGGAGGCAGCAGUGAGGAAUAUUGGUCAAUGGGCGGAAGCCUGAACCAGCCAAGUAGCGUGCAGGAUGACGGCCCUACGGGUUGUCAACUGCUUUUAUACGGGAAUAACGCGCCUUACGUGUAGGGCUUUGCAUGUACCGUAUGAAUAAGGACCGGCUAAUUCCGUUCCAGCAUCCGCGGUAAUACGGAAGUUCCGGGCGUUAUCCGGAUUUUUUGGGUUGAAAGGGAGCGUAGGCCGCAUGUCAAGCUUGCUGUGAAAUGCCCGGGCUCAACCCGGGCCUUGCAGCGCGAACUGGCGUGCUAGAGUCCGCGGACAGCAGGCGGAAUUCGUCGUGUAGCGGUGAAAUGCUUAGAUAUGACGCAGAACCCCGAUUGCGAAGGCAGCUUGCUGCAGCGGAACUGACGCUGAUGCACGAAAGCGCGGGUAGCGAACAGGAUUAGAUACCCUGGUAGUC